This 253-nucleotide unclassified non-coding RNA is filed under the name uncultured Pseudobdellovibrionaceae bacterium. Its description in RNAcentral is "uncultured Bdellovibrionaceae bacterium contains 16S-23S intergenic spacer region". It matches the Rfam family "Bacterial small subunit ribosomal RNA", at positions 524 to 776 of the family's 1533-position model. The record is from RNAcentral. Lineage: Bacteria; Pseudomonadati; Bdellovibrionota; Bdellovibrionia; Bdellovibrionales; Pseudobdellovibrionaceae.
UACGAGGGGUCCUAGCGUUGUUCGGAAUCAUUGGGCGUAAAGCGGGUGUAGGCGGAUCUGAAAGUCAGAUGUGAAAGCCCUGGGCUUAACCCAGGAAGUGCAUUUGAUACUACAGAUCUUGAGUGUGGUAGAGGCUAGUGGAAUUCCAGGUGUAGCGGUGAAAUGCGUAGAUAUCUGGAGGAACAUCGGUGGCGAAGGCGGCUAGCUGGACCAACACUGACGCUCAGACCCGAAAGCGUGGGGAGCAAACAGG